UGCAAUCAAUGAUGAAGAAAUUACAUUAUACUGAUAUCAUGUGAGUGUUGUACAAUUUAUCACCAUCUUUCGACUGAGAUUGCG
Molecule: small nucleolar RNA, 84 nt
Organism: Impatiens glandulifera
Lineage: Eukaryota; Viridiplantae; Streptophyta; Magnoliopsida; Ericales; Balsaminaceae
Source: RefSeq, a predicted model, not a curated record